AUUUAAGAGGAUUUGAUCCUGGUCCAGGAUGAACGCUGGCGGCGUGGAUAAGGCAUGCAAGUCGAACGUGUCAGUGCUGUGCACUGACCGCAGAACGACGCAGAACAAACGCAGAAAAACGCAGAAGUAAAAUUCUGCGAAAGUCUGCGUGAAGUCUGUGUAAGUCCGCGGCCAAUGCACGGCAUUGGCAAGUGGCGAACGAGUUAGUAAUACCCUAGUACCUACCUUUGAGUCAGAGAUAGUCCGGGGAAACCCGGGGUAAUAUCUGAUAGUCUCGCAAGAGUAAAGGCGCGAGCCGCUCAAAGAUGGGCUUAGGUCCGAUCAGCUAGUUGGUAGGGUAAUUGCCUACCAAGGCUAUGACCGGUAGGGGAGCUGAGAGGCUGUUCCCCAACGACGUUACUGAGAACGGAACGUACUCCUACGGGAGGCAGCAGUCGAGAAUAUUCGACAAUGGGCGAAAGCCUGAUCGAGCGACGCCGCGUGCAGGAAGAAGGGCUUCGGUCUGUAAACUGCUUUUAGCUGGGAUGAAGUCGUGCCUCACUUUUGUGAGGCACGCGCAGAAGUAUGCAGAAUUGACGCAGACGGUCGCAGAAAUUUUCUGCGUUAUUCUGCGUGACGUCUGCGAGAGUCUGCGCGUGACUCGCAGCAGCGAGGCACGAUUGACCGUACCAGUUGAAUAAGGGGCUGCAAACCUCGUGCCAGCAGCCGCGGUAAUACGAGGGCCUCAAGCGUUAUCCGGAUUUAUUGGGCGUAAAGAGCGCGUAGGGGGCUCGGUUAGUCUGUUGUUAAAUCCCACUGCUCAACAGUGGGGCUGCAAUGGAAACGGCCGAGCUAGAGGAUGCCAGAGGCUGACGGAACGCAUGGUGUAGGGGUGAAAUCCGUUGAUAUCAUGCGGAACACCGAAGGCGAAGGCAGUCAGCUGGGGCAUUCCUGACCCUCAGUGCGCGAAAGCGUGGGCAGAAAAAAGGAUUAGAUACGGCCCGCCAUUUUCUAGAAUUUUUGGUACCAUCGGACAGUUGCUUUUCGGAAACAACGUCCAUUUGCUCCAGCGGCAAAUGGCGCUUCGCUCUCGGCGGUUUUUCGGUCGGCUGAAAUGUAAAACGACCGAACCAAGCAAAACCGCCUCCGAGAUGUUCCGAAGAAGCAACAUGUCCUCGACCAAAAAUUUAAAAACACCUCGCUUUGUUAGCGAGGCGGAUGGUAGGGCCCUGUGUCUCUUUUAGUAGCAAUACUAAUUGUAACUUGGCUAUAUCGGUGAACAUCCUGUUGAAAUAGGAAAACACCGAGGGAAGUCUUAAAUGACCCCGUAGAGACUACACGCCGAGCUCCUCGUUUCAAUUUGUGAAACGCGCGGACAGUCGCAGACUGGACGCGGACCAACGCAGAAUUUAUUUUCUGCGCAGGUCUGCGUAAAGUCAGUAUUGUUCCGCGCGCGAGCGAAGCGAGCGAGGAUGAAGAUAUAGUCCGACCUGCAUAGCGAUAUGCAGAGGUAAACAGAAAUGUUUUAUCCUCGUAGAAUUGCGGCAUUUGAUUUCCGCGUAUGUCCGCGUGAAGUCUGCGUAAGUCCGCGAUUGUUACGAAGUAACAAUAGUGACCCUUGUAUUCCACGCCCUAAACGAUGCAGACUAGCUGUUUCGAGUAUCGACCCUCGGAGCGGCGUAGCUAACGCGUUAAGUCUGCCGCCUGGGAAGUACGGCCGCAAGGCUAAAACUCAAAGGAAUAGACGGGGACUCGCACAAGCGGUGGAACAUGAGGUUUAAUUCGAUAGUAAACGAAGAACCUUACCAGGGCUUGAAAUUCCGACGACGAUAUUCCGAAAGGAGUAUUUUCUCUCAAGGACGUCGGAACAGGUGCUGCAUGGUUGUCGUCAGCUCGUGAUUUGAAUUGUUCCCUUAAGUGGGGUAACGAGCGCAACCCCUAUCCGAUGUUAUAUGUGUCAUCGGAGACCGCCCCCUCUUUUGCGCACAAGCGCAAAGGAAGCGCCAAAUUACAAACGCUAAAUUACAAACAAAUUCAAAAUUCAAAUUUCCAAACCCUAAACACGAGUUUUGGUCAUUGGGAUUUUGGUUAUUGAGUAUUGUUUGGGAUUUGGAAUUUGUGAUUUGGAAUUUCCUUUAUUCGUUUGCGAACAAAGGAGGGGGAGGAAGGCGGGGAUGACGUCAAAUCCGCAUGGCCCUCUGAUGCCCUGGGCUACACUCGUGUUACAAUGGCCGCUACAAUGGGUUGCUAAGCCGUAAGGCGGAGCUAAUCCCAUCAAAAGCGGCCUCAGUUCGGAUUGAGGGCUGCAACUCGCCCUCAUGAAGCUGGAAUCGCUAGUAAUCGCGGAUCAGCCAUGCCGCGGUGAAUACGUUCUCGAGUCCUGUACUCACCGCCCGUCACUGCAGGGGAACCGGGAAUAUCUGAAACCCCUCUUUUGUCCGCAAGCGGACAAAAGCGCAGAAUUACGCAGACAGUACGCAGAAGAACGCAGAAUUAUUUUUUCUGCGUUAGUCCGCGUGAAGUCCGCGACCGUCCGCGCUUUUGGCUUGUAGCCAAAAGAGGGGUUAAGGUAGGCUCGGCAACAUGGCAGAAGUCGUAACAAGGCACGGGUAGCGGAAGCUGUUCGUGGACUAAUUCAAUU
Non-coding RNA from Candidatus Harrisonbacteria bacterium, 2620 nucleotides. Lineage: Bacteria; Candidatus Harrisoniibacteriota. The record is from Rfam.